UUGCCUUAAACUAAUGAGUAAGGAAAACAAAUUGAGCGGUGGGAACUGCUCACAGCACUGAGAAAAUCUUGUGCAAGAAUUUAUGGAGGGGUUAUAGGUUGGCUGAGAGUUGAUGCUGCUUACUUUGCAGAACUCUCUUGCCCGGGCCUCCU
Picea glauca (white spruce) is the source of this 152-nucleotide non-coding RNA. The record is from Rfam. Lineage: Eukaryota; Viridiplantae; Streptophyta; Pinopsida; Pinales; Pinaceae.